This is a long non-coding RNA of Pogoniulus pusillus (Red-fronted tinkerbird), 555 nucleotides long. RefSeq lists it as uncharacterized. The record is from RefSeq and is a predicted model, not a curated record. NCBI's taxonomy places the organism in Eukaryota, Metazoa, Chordata, Aves, Piciformes, Lybiidae. The transcript has 3 exons.
GGAACAUAAAGCCUCAGCCACACAUUCAGCCUGCUCCUCACACAUCAUUGCUCUCCAAUCCAAUGAAAUAAGGGGAGGUCUCCACUCCUGGAUGUGUUGGGAGCUGAGCUUUGGAAUGCAAGCCACAGUUUGCUUUCACUUGGAGAGUUGGAAGGAGUCACUGCCCUGGGGAUGGAAGCACAGCCCCAGAAUUUGGACUGGUCAUGGACUGAUCCAGUCUGCACUGAAACAGUGGAACUCCAGACCAUCUGGAGUGUGAAGUCCUCUCACCUGGGGUGAGACUGGACUGAGAAAGACUCGGGAUCAUAAGUAACACACUAGGACACUGCAGGAGCAUCAGCAGAGAGUGGGCACAGAGGGCUACUUCAUUGGCAGUCACGUAUAGGCUGACAUUCACAGCCCUGCAGAGAGCAAAUCAAAGGCUGCUGGUUCAGUGUGGUGACUACAUACAUCCCUUUUGCGCCAUCACCAACUACUCAAAGCAGGAGUUUAAAACAAAGACUCAAUUCUCUCUUUCCUGGGUGUCUUGUAAAAAUUAAAGAAACCUAUGAAGGC